CCCUUAGAUGUCCUGGGCUGCACGCGCGCUACACUGAUGUGUCCAGUAAGCACCUAACCUCUUCCGAAAGGAACGGGUAACCUUUGCAAAGCACAUCGUGAUGGGGAUAGAUUAUUGCAAUUAUUAGUCUUGAACGAGGAAUUCCUAGUAAGCACAAGUCAUCAGCUUGUGUUGAUUACGUCCCUGCCCUUUGUACACACCGCCCGUCGCUCCUACCGAUUGAAUGUUCCGGUGAGCUCUUCGGACUGCGCGGUCUGCAGUUUCUGCGUUCCGUGCGGAAAGUUGCGCAAACCUUAACAUUUAGAGGAAUGAGAAGUCGUAACA
RNAcentral lists this ribosomal RNA (324 nucleotides) under uncultured eukaryote. RNAcentral describes it as "partial 18S ribosomal RNA". It matches the Rfam family "Eukaryotic small subunit ribosomal RNA", at positions 1470 to 1796 of the family's 1831-position model. The record is from RNAcentral.